This 496-nucleotide ribosomal RNA is filed under the name uncultured bacterium. RNAcentral describes it as "partial 16S ribosomal RNA". It matches the Rfam family "Bacterial small subunit ribosomal RNA", at positions 28 to 506 of the family's 1533-position model. The record is from RNAcentral.
GAUGAACGCUGGCGGCGUGCCUAAUACAUGCAAGUCGAGCGAACGGACGAGAAGCUUGCUUCUCUGAUGUUAGCGGCGGACGGGUGAGUAACACGUGGAUAACCUACCUAUAAGACUGGGAUAACUUCGGGAAACCGGAGCUAAUACCGGAUGAUAUUUUGAACCGCAUGGUUCAAAAGUGAAAGACGGUCUUGCUGUCACUUAUAGAUGGAUCCGCGCUGCAUUAGCUAGUUGGUAAGGUAACGGCUUACCAAGGCAACGAUGCAUAGCCGACCUGAGAGGGUGAUCGGCCACACUGGAACUGAGACACGGUCCAGACUCCUACGGGAGGCAGCAGUAGGGAAUCUUCCGCAAUGGGCGAAAGCCUGACGGAGCAACGCCGCGCGAGUGAUGAAGGUCUUCGGAUCGUAAAACUCUGUUAUUAGGGAAGAACAUAUGUGUAAGUAACUGUGCACAUCUUGACGGUACCUAAUCAGAAAGCCACGGCUAACUACGU